GAUGAACGCUGGCGGCUGCUUAACACAUGCAAGUCGAACGAAGAUGCCGGAGUGCUUGCACUUUGGCAGACUGAGUGGCGGACGGGUGAGUAACGCGUGGGUAACCUGCCUUAUACAGGGGGAUAACAGUUGGAAACGACUGCUAAUACCGCAUAAGCGCACGGUAUCGCAUGAUACAGUGUGAAAAACUCCGGUGGUAUAAGAUGGACCCGCGUCUGAUUAGCUUGUUGGUGAGGUAACGGCCCACCAAGGCGACGAUCAGUAGCCGGCCUGAGAGGGUGAACGGCCACAUUGGGACUGAGACACGGCCCAAACUCCUACGGGAGGCAGCAGUGGGGAAUAUUGCACAAUGGGGGAAACCCUGAUGCAGCGACGCCGCGUGAGUGAUGAAGUAUUUCGGUAUGUAAAACUCUAUCAGCAGGGAAGAUAAUGACGGUACCUGACUAAGAAGCACCGGCUAAAUACGUG
RNAcentral lists this ribosomal RNA (468 nucleotides) under uncultured bacterium. RNAcentral's name for it is "bacterial SSU rRNA". It matches the Rfam family "Bacterial small subunit ribosomal RNA", at positions 28 to 507 of the family's 1533-position model. The record is from RNAcentral.